UACGUAGGGACCAAGCGUUGUUCGGAUUUACUGGGCGUAAAGGGCGCGUAGGCGGCCUAACAAGUCACUUGUGAAAUCUCCGGGCUUAACUCGGAAUGGCCAAGUGAAACUGUCAGGCUAGAGUGCAGAAGGGGCAAUCGGAAUUCUUGGUGUAGCGGUGAAAUGCGUAGAGAUCAUGAGGAAGACCAGUGGCGAAGGCGGGUCUCUGGACAGUUCCUGACACUGAGACACGAAGGCCAGGGGAGCAAACAGG
RNAcentral lists this ribosomal RNA (253 nucleotides) under uncultured prokaryote. Its description in RNAcentral is "partial 16S ribosomal RNA". It matches the Rfam family "Bacterial small subunit ribosomal RNA", at positions 524 to 776 of the family's 1533-position model. The record is from RNAcentral.